This 72-nucleotide transfer RNA is filed under the name Endocronartium harknessii PhW48OC. RNAcentral's name for it is "tRNA-Arg (TCT) (tRNA-Arg-TCT-1-1)". It matches the Rfam family "tRNA". From Rfam's summary of the family: Transfer RNA (tRNA) molecules are approximately 80 nucleotides in length. Their secondary structure includes four short double-helical elements and three loops (D, anti-codon, and T loops). Further hydrogen bonds mediate the characteristic L-shaped molecular structure. tRNAs have two regions of fundamental functional importance: the anti-codon, which is responsible for specific mRNA codon recognition, and the 3' end, to which the tRNAs corresponding amino acid is attached (by aminoacyl-tRNA synthetases). tRNAs cope with the degeneracy of the genetic code in two manners: having more than one tRNA (with a specific anti-codon) for a particular amino acid; and 'wobble' base-pairing, i.e. permitting non-standard base-pairing at the 3rd anti-codon position. RNAcentral also lists the same sequence under 1 other name. The record is from RNAcentral. Lineage: Eukaryota; Fungi; Basidiomycota; Pucciniomycetes; Pucciniales; Coleosporiaceae.
GCCUCCGUGGCGUAAUGGUAACGCGUUGGACUUCUAAUCCAAAGACUGCGGGUUCGAGCCCCGCCGGAGGUG